AGUCCCCCUUCUCAACUCCUGCCGGAAGUUCGGGUGACGUCAUCACCCCGCGCCCCUCGUACCGUCUCAGGGGUGGCGGCCCAGACGGGGGGGGAAGCGGCGGAGGCGCUGAGAGCGAAGAGCAGCGCGGGGAGGAAGAGGAGGAGGAGGCGGCGCGGCGCCAUCGCGGCCCCUUUAAGGCCCUCCGCAGGUCCCCGUCACGUGAGGAACCCGCCGUCGGCAUGUGACCGGAAAACGGAGGCUGGGCCUCCCGCCUUAAAGCGGCGACGCCUCUUCUUCAAGCGGCAACGCGGUGGGGCCCAUCCCGAAACAGAAUAUUCGCUUUGUUGGGUUUUUUUGGGUUAUUCUUUUUUUUUUUUUGUACAAAAACACCGUUUUAUUGCAAUUUCUCUCCCUACGGCCCGAACGGCUUCGCGUCCCUCACGCAGUGGAGAUGCUGUGAGCAGAGAGAAAGCCCCGCCUAAAGCCGGUUUUACGGGCGUAAAGCUGAGCGCCGGGCAGCCCCGGACCCGCACGGUUCUCUCUGAGCCGCCCGGAUCUCCGCCGUGCCGCCAUUUUGGGCUCCGCACCUGAGAGAAGCGCUGCGGCGCGUCGUGAUGACGUCACGAGGGGGGGGGCACCGCAGCUGCGAAAGAAGCGAGCGCCGCUCGGCGCGCGGUGAUGACGUCAAUUAAAUGCGCCGGAAUGGGGGGGAGAAGGAGGCGGAUGUGAGC
This 713-nucleotide long non-coding RNA is filed under the name Phasianus colchicus (ring-necked pheasant). Its description in RNAcentral is "lncRNA (ENSPCLG00000015977.1)". Lineage: Eukaryota; Metazoa; Chordata; Aves; Galliformes; Phasianidae. The record is from RNAcentral.